AACGAACGCUGGCGGCGUGCCUAACACAUGCAAGUCGAACGAGAAAGGGGCUUCGGCUCCGAGUAAAGUGGCGCACGGGUGAGUAACACGUGGGUAACCUGCCUUUAAGUUUGGGAUAACCUGUCGAAAGACGAGCUAAUACCGAAUAAGACCACAGAUUCCCUGGAAGCAGGGGUCAAAGGUAGCCUCUACUUGUAAGCUAUCGCUUAGAGAUGGGCCUGCGUACCAUUAGCUAGUUGGUAGGGUAACGGCCUACCAAGGCAAAGAUGGUUAGCUGGUCUGAGAGGAUGAUCAGCCACACUGGAACUGAGACACGGUCCAGACUCCUACGGGAGGCAG
This 339-nucleotide ribosomal RNA is filed under the name uncultured Pseudomonadota bacterium. RNAcentral describes it as "bacterial SSU rRNA". It matches the Rfam family "Bacterial small subunit ribosomal RNA", at positions 29 to 351 of the family's 1533-position model. Lineage: Bacteria; Pseudomonadati; Pseudomonadota. The record is from RNAcentral.